This 440-nucleotide ribosomal RNA is filed under the name uncultured bacterium. Its description in RNAcentral is "partial 16S ribosomal RNA". It matches the Rfam family "Bacterial small subunit ribosomal RNA", at positions 338 to 795 of the family's 1533-position model. The record is from RNAcentral.
CCUACGCGUGGCAGCAGUGGGGAAUAUUGCACAAUGGGGUGAACCCUUAUGCAGCGACGCCGCGUGGGUUAAGGAGUAUUUCGGUAUGUAAAGCCCUAUCAGCAGGGAAGAACAAUGACGGUACCUGACUAAGAAGCACCGGCUAAAUACGUGCCAGCAGCCGCGGUAAUACGUAUGGUGCAAGCGUUAUCCGGAUUUACUUGGUGUAAGGGGAGCGCAGGCGGCGCGUUAAGCCUGGGUGGAACGCACGCGGCCCAACCGCGGGACUGCAUUGGGAACUGGCGCGCUGGAGUGCCGGAGGGGUAGGCGGAAUUCCUAGUGUAGCGGUGAAAUGCGUAGAUAUUAGGAGGAACACCAGUGGCGAAGGCGGCCUACUGGACGGUGACUGACGCUGAGGCUCGAAAGCGUGGGGAGCAAACAGGAUUAGAACCCUUGUAGUC